Molecule: transfer RNA, 55 nt
Filed under: Centrorhynchus aluconis
Lineage: Eukaryota; Metazoa; Acanthocephala; Palaeacanthocephala; Polymorphida; Centrorhynchidae
Description: tRNA-Thr
Source: RNAcentral
UUCAGGGUAUUUUAAGAAGAAUAUGAGUUUUGUAAAUUUAGGGUUGGUUCUGGCU